UACGGGGGGGGCAAGCGUUGUUCGGAAUUACUGGGCGUAAAGGGCUCGUAGGCGGCCAACUAAGUCAGACGUGAAAUCCCCAGGCUCAACCUGGGAACUGCGUCUGAUACUGGAUGGCUUGAAUUCGGGAGAGGGAUGCAGAAUUCCAGGUGUAGCGGUGAAAUGCGUAGAUAUCUGGAGGAAUACCGGUGGCGAAGGCGGCAUCCUGGACCGAGAUUGACGCUGAUGAGCGAAAGCUAGGGGAGCAAACGGG
This 253-nucleotide ribosomal RNA is filed under the name uncultured bacterium. RNAcentral's name for it is "partial 16S ribosomal RNA". It matches the Rfam family "Bacterial small subunit ribosomal RNA", at positions 524 to 776 of the family's 1533-position model. The record is from RNAcentral.